UACGGAGGGAGCAAGCGUUACUCGGAAUUAUUGGGCGUAAAGGGCGCGUAGGCGAUCUGAAAAGUUCUGUGUGAAAGCCCACAUGUUAACUGUGGAAGUGCACAGAAAACUGUUGGAUUUGAGUUCAGGAGAGGAAGGCAGAAUUCCCGGUGUAGCGGUGAAAUGCGUAGAGAUCGGGAGGAACACCUGUGGCGAAGGCGGUCCCCUGGGCCGGCCCUGACACUGAGACGCGAAGGCGUGGGGAGCGAACGGG
RNAcentral lists this ribosomal RNA (253 nucleotides) under uncultured bacterium. RNAcentral describes it as "partial 16S ribosomal RNA". It matches the Rfam family "Bacterial small subunit ribosomal RNA", at positions 524 to 776 of the family's 1533-position model. The record is from RNAcentral.